This 100-nucleotide microRNA precursor is filed under the name Marmota monax (woodchuck). The record is from RNAcentral. Lineage: Eukaryota; Metazoa; Chordata; Mammalia; Rodentia; Sciuridae.
AGUGAAAUCGCUGGGUCAAAUGGUGGUUCAAUUCCAAGUCCAAGGAAUCCCCAUACUGCUUUACAGAUUGGUUGCACCAAUUUGCAGGCCCAAGAGCAAU